GUCAAGCAAGUUGCACAAAAGAAACUGUCGUCACAUAAACUAAAUCUAAGAAAAUAAUAGCAAGAUGCCACUAAUCCCACUUUAAAAGACAGCUACAGAAAGUAAGCAAAAAUUACUUGCAUUUUGUGCAAAGCAAUGGAGUUUGUUUGUCCAAAAAUUUUAUGACACUCUUAGGCAAUUGAACAGGCACCCAUCCCUAAGUACUACCCAACUAUUUUGAGCAG
This 224-nucleotide unclassified non-coding RNA is filed under the name Hevea brasiliensis (rubber tree). Lineage: Eukaryota; Viridiplantae; Streptophyta; Magnoliopsida; Malpighiales; Euphorbiaceae. The record is from RNAcentral.